This 798-nucleotide ribosomal RNA is filed under the name Malaysiasca phaii. RNAcentral describes it as "eukaryotic LSU rRNA". It matches the Rfam family "Eukaryotic large subunit ribosomal RNA", at positions 82 to 912 of the family's 3401-position model. The record is from RNAcentral. Lineage: Eukaryota; Fungi; Ascomycota; Sordariomycetes; Glomerellales.
AGUAACGGCGAGUGAAGCGGCAACAGCUCAAAUUUGAAAUCUGGCCCCAGGCCCGAGUUGUAAUUUGUAGAGGAUGCUUUUGGCGCGGUGCCUUCCGAGUUCCCUGGAACGGGACGCCAUAGAGGGUGAGAGCCCCGUACGGUCGGACACCUAGCCUCUGUAAAGCUCCUUCGACGAGUCGAGUAGUUUGGGAAUGCUGCUCAAAAUGGGAGGUAUAUUUCUUCUAAAGCUAAAUACCGGCCAGAGACCGAUAGCGCACAAGUAGAGUGAUCGAAAGAUGAAAAGCACUUUGAAAAGAGGGUUAAACAGCACGUGAAAUUGUUAAAAGGGAAGCGCUUGUGACCAGACUUGCGCCCGGCGAAUCAUCCAGCGUUCUCGCUGGUGCACUUCGCCGGCUCAGGCCAGCAUCAGCUCGCUGUCGGGGACAAAAGCUUCGGGAACGUAGCUCCUCUCGGGGAGUGUUAUAGCCCGUUGCAUAAUACCCUUCGGCGGGCUGAGGUACGCGCUCCGCAAGGAUGCUGGCAUAAUGGUCAUCAGCGACCCGUCUUGAAACACGGACCAAGGAGUCAACCUUAUGUGCGAGUGUUUGGGUGUUAAACCCCUACGCGUAAUGAAAGUGAACGUAGGUGAGAGCUUCGGCGCAUCAUCGACCGAUCCUGAUGUUCUCGGAUGGAUUUGAGUAAGAGCAUAUAGGGUUGGACCCGAAAGAAGAUGAACUAUGCGUGUAUAGGGUGAAGCCAGAGGAAACUCUGGUGGAGGCUCGCAGCGGUUCUGACGUGCAAAUCGAUCGUCAAAUAA